CCACGGAGCGCACGGAGGAGAUCGUCGUCAUCCGCCAAACCAGAUCGGCUUCUUCUUCUUCUUCUUCUUCUUCAACUUCGCAGAAUCGUCGGCGGUCGUCUCUUCCUCUAGGUACGCGCGCCUCCUCAUCCAUUCCAUGCUCCUUCUACAGCCCUGCGAAUCCGCGGCCCCAAGUAGUAGAUCGUGGUAAAAUUUACUGGAGGGGAUUUUUUUGUUUUGCUCUGUUCGACGAACUGGCUGGGGGAUUUUAGGCCGUCGGAAGGGGGAUCGGCCACGGGUUUGGCCCCGCGGGAUCUGGUUGGUUGGCUGGUUGGUUGCCGUGAGAAAACCCUAGUUCGUCGUUGUGGCAGGGUAGGGGGCCCCCAAAUUAGCCCUUCAUGUGUGACAAGUCAUGCCCGAGGGCCGAGGGUUUUCGUCGGUUGGAUCGAUCGAUGCGGCUCUUCGUAGAUCGGUCAUGGGGUUAAUUAGCCAGUGUUGUUAUGGAAUUAGGUGUCAGGAUGCGUAAUAAGGCUAAAAUAUGGCGCUACUUGCACUUGGUUUGGUUCAGAGAACCCGAAAAUUCUCCCCGAUUGGUUAAUCAAUCAUGUAUGUGCGCCCUUCAUGUUUGAUUAGUACAUGCAUGUUUCACCUGUCCUGUAUGGAUAGAUUGCUGCUUGUUAGGCACGAUGGUGCAUGGACAUGGUUUGGUCACAUGGAAAUUGGGAUGGGAAUUGGGUAGGCAGGUCGGCACGAAUGGUUGGCUGUUGCUGCCCUGUUUAUUUUAGUCAGAGGAUCAUGUCUGAUGAGCGGCGGAGCCAGCUCGGCCGGUGAGACGGGGCAAAGUCCAAGACGCUCCUGCCCGCCGGUUGUUUGCCCAUGCAAAAUGAUGCUUGGCUCUUCAUUAAUUACUAAUGAUCAAAGAAGAAUGCAUGGCACAGCCCGGGCAGCUGCCCCGGCUAGCCGGGAGGUGGCUCCGCCACUGUGUCUGAUUGCUUGCACGCAGCACUCACUCAAGCAUAUGGUUCUUUUACCAAGUCAAAUGUUCUGAAAGGAGAACAAUUAGUUCUGCUCUAGCUGGCAUAAUAAACACAUCAAUGUGGUGGUGCUAUCGGCCCUCUAUACCGACAAGAACAUAUAUUAGCACCUGUUACAUACAGUACAUCAUGUGUUUAGUGGAAUUUCAUGUGCUUAAAGACAGCAAGAUUUCUGUCCUGUAAUUCGAGUACUAUGCUUGGGGGGACAGCAACAUUUCUCUAUAUAUCGUGUACUAACAUUUGUCUGAUCAUGAUAUGUGCAGUUAGAUCCUUCGAGAGCAAUGGGAGGAGGCAAUGAUGGUCAUGGGUACCCACCCGGUGGCCAGGGGGGAUACCCUCCGGCAGGGUACCCGCCGCAGCAGGGAGGUUACCCUCCACAGCAAGGAGGUUACCCUCCACAGCAAGGAUACCCGCCUGCACCUGGAGCUUACCCACCUGCACCUGGGGCAUACCCUCCUGCACCUGGGGCGUACCCUCCUGCACCUGGAGCGGGAGGCCCUGACGGGGAGAAGGGGCUCCUCUCCAACAUCAUGCAUGGUGUUGCCGGUGCUCAUGGUGGUGGUCAUGGCUACCCAUCUGGUGGCCACGGGUACCCCCCGCAGCAGCAUGGAUACCCUCAGCAAGGCUACC
This 1643-nucleotide long non-coding RNA is filed under the name Triticum aestivum (bread wheat). Its description in RNAcentral is "long non-coding RNA (TAES_LNC000653)". Lineage: Eukaryota; Viridiplantae; Streptophyta; Magnoliopsida; Poales; Poaceae. The record is from RNAcentral.